UCUAACCUACAACGGUUAUCCCGUUGAGGAACAGUGUUAAGUGGGUAGUUUGACUGGGGCGGUCGCCUCCUAAAGUGUAACGGAGGCGUCCUAAGGUUCCCUCAGACUGUUUGGAAAUCAGUCGUAGAGUAUAAAGGCAUAAGGGAGCUUGACUGUGAGACCGACAAGUCGAACAGGUAGGAAACUAGGGCUUAGUGAUCCGGCGGUCCCGUAUGGAAGGGCCGUCGCUCAACGGAUAAAAGGUACGCCGGGGAUAACAGGCUAAUAGGGCCCAAGAGCUCAUAUCGACGGCCCUGUUUGGCACCUCGAUGUCGGCUCAUCGCAUCCUGGGGCUGAAGCCGGUCCCAAGGGUUGGGCUGUUCGCCCAUUAAAGCGGUACGUGAGCUGGGUUUAGAACGUCGCGAGACAGUUCGGUCCCUAUCCGCGGU
RNAcentral lists this ribosomal RNA (428 nucleotides) under marine sediment metagenome. RNAcentral describes it as "LSU rRNA". It matches the Rfam family "Bacterial large subunit ribosomal RNA", at positions 2221 to 2648 of the family's 2925-position model. The record is from RNAcentral.